This 506-nucleotide ribosomal RNA is filed under the name Discocoris drakei. RNAcentral's name for it is "partial 16S ribosomal RNA". It matches the Rfam family "Bacterial large subunit ribosomal RNA", at positions 1819 to 2600 of the family's 2925-position model. The record is from RNAcentral. Lineage: Eukaryota; Metazoa; Arthropoda; Insecta; Hemiptera; Thaumastocoridae.
GGCUUUUAGAUUAUAAUUUAAGGUCUUGCCUGCCCAGUGAUUUUUAACGGCCGCAGUAUUUUGACUGUGCAAAGGUAGCAUAAUCAUUUGCUCUUUAAUUGGGAGCUGGUAUGAAUGGUAGGAUGAAAGAUUUACUUUCUUUAUUGUAGUUUAUUUAAUUUAACUUUCGAGUUAAAAGGCUUGGAUUUUUACAUAGGACGAGAAGACCCUAUAGAAUUUUAUAUUACUUGAGUGUUGAGUUGAAUUGUAAUUUAAUAUUUAACAGAUAUUUUAUUGGGGCGAUUGAAUAGAUGACUUAACCUAUUUUUUUAAUAUUCAAUAAUUUUUGUUUUAUUUUUGAUCCGAUUAUAUUUCGAUUAAAAGAUUAAAUUACCUUAGGGAUAACAGCGUAAUUUCUUUGGAGAGUUCUUAUCGAUAAAGGAGUUUGCGACCUCGAUGUUGGAUUAAAAUAAGUAUUGAUCGUAGGAGUUCAAUUACUAAGUCUGUUCGACUUUUAAAAUUUUACA